Molecule: long non-coding RNA, 591 nt
Filed under: Rattus norvegicus (Norway rat)
Lineage: Eukaryota; Metazoa; Chordata; Mammalia; Rodentia; Muridae
Description: long non-coding RNA NONRATT018869
Source: RNAcentral
AUCACAGCAGGUCCCGAAGGCUGCUGUGACCCUUCCUUCUCAGGCUCAAGCAGGGGAUAAACAAAUUGACAUCAUUUUGUCCUGUAAAUAGUGCAGGCUGGUAUUUAACAUGGGUAAAACACAGAUACAGUAUUGAUGAGGGAAAAGUCGCUUCUGUCAUGGAGCUCAGUGUAGUGGAGCCCAAAUGUAAAUUUGCAACUAUGACUAGUGCGGCAAAGCAGCCAACAUAUUCAGAGAGGUCACAGGAGUCUCCCUUGAGGAAGUGACACUGGAGCUGAGAUCUGAAUAACAAGUAGGAAUGAGCUAGGGUAAGAGAGAGAGGCUGGAAGGCCCCUUGAGGCUGAUUACAGGGAUCAAGUGCCCGCAAACCAGAGCAUUGCAUUUAUCAAAAUAAGAGAUAAGAGUGGUCAGGCUAGACCUGGUGGAGAAAAGGAAGGUGGGGGAUUUAGGCUUCAGAGGCAAACUUGGACACCAUUUUAUUGGGUGAGAUUGAAAGGAAGGGGACAAAGGCACAGUAUUGUUUCUACCUCAUGCUACAGGAUGAUUGUAGGGUGUGGGCUGAAAUUGUAAUAAAUCUGUUCAGAUGUAUUG